RNAcentral lists this ribosomal RNA (253 nucleotides) under uncultured bacterium. RNAcentral describes it as "partial 16S ribosomal RNA". It matches the Rfam family "Bacterial small subunit ribosomal RNA", at positions 524 to 776 of the family's 1533-position model. The record is from RNAcentral.
GACAGAGGGUGCAAACGUUGCUCGGAAUUACUGGGCGUAAAGCGCGUGUAGGCGGAUGGGCAAGUCAGGUGUGAAAUCCCCGAGCUCAACUUGGGAACUGCACUUGAAACUACCUGUCUUGAGUGAUGGAGAGGGCGGCGGAAUUCCUGGUGUAGAGGUGAAAUUCGUAGAUAUCAGGAGGAACACCGGUGGCGAAGGCGGCCGCCUGGACAUCUACUGACGCUGAGACGCGAAAGCGUGGGGAGCAAACAGG